CAAGUUUGGUGAUACGCGGGCGC
RNAcentral lists this microRNA (23 nucleotides) under Bombyx mori (domestic silkworm). RNAcentral's name for it is "bmo-miR-2795". The record is from miRBase by way of RNAcentral. Lineage: Eukaryota; Metazoa; Arthropoda; Insecta; Lepidoptera; Bombycidae.